ACGUAGGGGCCAAACGUUAUCCGGAUUUAUUGGGCGUAAAGGGCUCGUAGGCGGUUCAACAAGUCGGCCGUGAAAGCUCGGGGCUCAACCCCGAGACGCCGGUCGAAACUGUUGUGACUAGGGUCCGGUAGAGGUGAGUGGAAUUCUCGGUGUAGCGGUGGAAUGCGCAGAUAUCGAGAGGAACACCAGUUGCGAAGGCGGCUCACUGGGCCGGUACCGACGCUAAUGAGCGAAAGCGUGGGGAGCAAACAGG
RNAcentral lists this ribosomal RNA (253 nucleotides) under uncultured bacterium. RNAcentral describes it as "partial 16S ribosomal RNA". It matches the Rfam family "Bacterial small subunit ribosomal RNA", at positions 525 to 776 of the family's 1533-position model. The record is from RNAcentral.